This 253-nucleotide ribosomal RNA is filed under the name uncultured bacterium. RNAcentral describes it as "partial 16S ribosomal RNA". It matches the Rfam family "Bacterial small subunit ribosomal RNA", at positions 524 to 776 of the family's 1533-position model. The record is from RNAcentral.
UACGUAGGGGGCAAGCGUUGUCCGGAUUUAUUGGGCGUAAAGAGCGUGUAGGCGGCCAUACAGGUCAGCUGUGAAAACUCGAGGCUCAACCUCGAGACGUCGGUUGAAACCGUAUGACUAGAGUCCGGAAGAGGAGAGUGGAAUUCCUGGUGUAGCGGUGAAAUGCGCAGAUAUCAGGAAGAACACCCGUGGCUAAGGCGGCUCUCUAGUACGUGACUGACGCUGAGACGCGAAAGCGUGGGGAGCGAACAGG